UUACGGCCAUACCACGUUGAACACUGGUUCUCGAACGAUCAUCGAAGUUAAGCAACGACGAGCUUGUUUAUAAACUAGAUGGGUGGUCGCUUGGGAAUAUCAGGUGCUGUAAG
Acanthosepion pharaonis is the source of this 113-nucleotide non-coding RNA. Lineage: Eukaryota; Metazoa; Mollusca; Cephalopoda; Sepiida; Sepiidae. The record is from the annotation of a GenBank genome assembly.